GAAAAAAGAAAAGAACAAGUAGUACUGCAGUGUAUAGCAUCGAAAAUGGAGAGAGUCCAAAAACUCUUUGUUGUGAUUGUUAUGCUGCUUGCAGCCAUCAGCAGCAACAGGGUGCUUCAGAUUUCUAAUGCACAAACCAUCUGCAACAUGCCGAUGGCCGGACUAAUGGCUUGCAAGCCUUCUGUGACUCCUCCCAACCCUACUGCUCCAACCAGCGCCUGCUGCUCCGCGCUCUCCCACGCAGACAUGCGUUGCCUUUGCUCUUACAAGAAUUCCAAGUUGCUUCCUUCUCUUGGAAUUGAUCCAAACCUUGCCAUUCAACUUCCUGCCAAGUGCAAGCUUCCUCACCCUGCCAACUGCUAGAGGUUAAAGAAAAGAAGGUGUUUCUGCUUAAUUUGGAAGGAUAUAAUAAUUAGCUUAUAUUCAAAUGCGUGCAGAAACAAACAAAAACUGUUAUAACAGAAGAAAGAGGAAAGAAAGAUACAUAAAAUAAAGCUGAAGUUUCGGGGAUCUUUUGACAUUGGCUAAUUUAGCUUUGUCUUUUGUUUUGCUAUUGUUCUCGUUUUUGAGUUGUUGUUUUCUUCAUGAUGGUUGUGUAUCUCCAAUGUAAUAAUAUUUUAAUUAAGAAAUGUUUUAUCUUAACUGUUUUCUUAA
Molecule: unclassified non-coding RNA, 654 nt
Filed under: Hevea brasiliensis (rubber tree)
Lineage: Eukaryota; Viridiplantae; Streptophyta; Magnoliopsida; Malpighiales; Euphorbiaceae
Source: RNAcentral